AUUUGGAUACUUGUAUGCCUAUCUAUCACAUUUUAGAAAUGUGUAAAUGUAAUUUGCGAUUUAAGAUGACUCUGAUUGUGUCUCUCUCUCUAUGUCGCUCAGCGUUAAUGCUCCACUCUGUUGUGCAGGAAGGCAGGAACAGACCAUCUGCAACAGCAGACCCCCAACACAGCCUUAACUACCCAGAGAGAUUUGAACGCCAUGCCUCUCAUUCCGGCACUCCACAUGCUCGCUGCAGAUUGUGUCUAUGUGCUGGGGCCUCCCUGGGGGCUGAGAUAGUGCCAUGAGACUGAGAGAGAGACUGAGCAGGAGGGAGAAACAGACAAGACUGAAUGAGAGACAACAGCGGGGAGAGAGACCGAGGGAUUGACGGAGGUAGAGCGAUGGAAAGAUGAAGGGAAGGAGAGAGACGGAACGACGGAGCUGGUUAGAGAAAUGGAGGGACUGUGGCGGGGAAAGAUGAUGGAGAGUCUGAGGCAGAGAGAGAGAGAGGGAGAUUAACAGGGGAAAACCGACGGGUCGGGAGAGAUUGAAACAAGCAGAGAGAUUGGGAGAUGGAGGGUGAGAGAUGGAGCGAGAAAAUCAAAGGUACAAAGAGAAUACACACCGUUAUAUGGAGACAGUUGGCUGUUUCUGAUUGGUUCUGACAGGGGGGAAUGGUGGGGGCGGGUCAGCUAUAAUUCCAUUACAUUACAUUACUAUUAUGUUACAUCAAAGCUGCGUUUUGCUACACUAAUUCAAUAUUUGAUGGAAGGUAUGGAAAUGCCACAGCCACAACACUGGCUGGGGGUUCCUAAGGGAACUGUGGAGGCAGAGGACAUCACUUUGUUUGUUAUGGAUCGUUGUUGACAUUUGGAGCAUAUCAACCGCAGUGCAAAUCAGCUAGAGCUAAUAUGAGUUUUACUUAUUAGCUUGCAACAUGAACAUUGUGUUCGGUACCAUUAGCAUAGCCGACAGUAUGACGUUAUUACGAGUCAUUAAAUCCUCAUUAUAGUAUAAGUGACUGUAUGUACAGUGAUUGGAAAUAUAUGACUGUCAAUGGAAAAUAAUUUGAGUCCCACAAUGCCAUGCCUCCAAAUCACAUUCAACCUUGUUGAAGGUCUGGAUAGGCUUGUAUUACAAACAAGAUUUGAAUGGAACGAUGGCUGUGCUGUUUUGGGAGUAGUGUGCUCUUUUCACAAAACAUAGCCAACGAAGCCAUUACAACUCAUUUUGUGUCCGGAUCUCAUGAGAUUAAGCAUGUAUGCUGCUGGUGGGUGAAAUUGAGAUGGAGGACGGGAAACUUGCAAAAGGAGAAGAUUACAGUGAUCUGGGGUUAUUUUCAACUAAAGACGGUUUUUUGGUAGAAUGUACAUUUUGUGUAAGAAUUGGGUUAGAUGUUAGUGGUUAUGGAUACAGUCACGACUAAAGAGCUACAUGCAGGCUUAUAUACAAAUAUAAUGCAUCCUGUGUCUUGCUUCUUUGCCGGAUGCUGCAGUAAAAGAUUAUAGAGUACAGCUCUCUCUUCCUGGCUGAGUCCUUGUGACCAAAUUGCUCUCAAGACCAAAGUCUACAACAUGAUCAGGAACUUGUCAUACUAGAAUAGUUCUCAUUAUAGAUUCAUACUUUAAGUCCAUUCUGGGUGAUGUUACAAAGACUUAAUUGAGAAGUUCUGCCAUGUUCUCAUCGUAAAAACUAAAAACGAUGAAAAAGAAUGAUGGCAUCCAAAACUAACAAGGUCACAGGAUGUUUUCUUGAGAAAAGUCAAAUGAUGGUCAUGCUUGAAGAAAUAUGAUACAUAUAUUUCAAAACACAGAGUUGAUGUUGUCGCUAUAAAAGUAAACUUUUGUACACUGUAUUUGUCAUUCGAGUCCUGUAUGUUUAAAUGGCGUGUUGGAACUUUCCCUUAACCAUGUUUCAAUCCUCAACACAUACUCCCUCAAGACAUACAAAAUUAAUUUCGCUUUACAUACCCAAACUUCAACUGAUUAACUCUCUUUUCCUUCCCCUCUCUCCCUUAUUCUCACUGUCUCACCGCGCGCGCGCGCACACACACACACACACACACACACACACACACACACAGGACAUAUGUCUGCAGGCUUGCACACAUCCCUCCCUCUCUCUUUCUCCCUUCUGUGGUGUUCCCUGACAUGGAGCCAAGCAAAAUGAGACUCAACAUGACAUAAAGUCCCUGUAAUAGAGUAUGUGGACUUCCAAACCCUUACUGAGGGAAUUGCUG
Molecule: long non-coding RNA, 2221 nt
Organism: Esox lucius (northern pike)
Lineage: Eukaryota; Metazoa; Chordata; Actinopteri; Esociformes; Esocidae
Source: Ensembl